RNAcentral lists this ribosomal RNA (253 nucleotides) under uncultured bacterium. Its description in RNAcentral is "partial 16S ribosomal RNA". It matches the Rfam family "Bacterial small subunit ribosomal RNA", at positions 524 to 776 of the family's 1533-position model. The record is from RNAcentral.
GACGAACCGUGCGAACGUUGUUCGGAAUCACUGGGCUUAAAGGGCGCGUAGGCGGCUUGUCAAGUCCGGGGUGAAAGCCCCCAGCUUAACUGGGGAAGUGCCUUAGAUACUGACAAGCUCGAGGGAGGUAGGGGCAGAUGGAACUUCCGGUGGAGCGGUGAAAUGCGUUGAUAUCGGAAGGAACGCCGGUGGCGAAAGCGAUCUGCUGGACCUCUUCUGACGCUGAGGCGCGAAAGCUAGGGUAGCGAACGGG